This 2176-nucleotide long non-coding RNA is filed under the name Medicago truncatula (barrel medic). RNAcentral's name for it is "long non-coding RNA (MTRU_LNC008284)". Lineage: Eukaryota; Viridiplantae; Streptophyta; Magnoliopsida; Fabales; Fabaceae. The record is from RNAcentral.
UCUGCAGUUGAAGAAAUUAUCCCUAAACCCCUUAAAACACACAUACAUUCUCUGAAAGUGAGGACAAACUAUGGCAUUAGGAUUCUCUAUGUCAGCCUCAGUACCUACAUAAGGGGUGCUAGUAAUGGAUACAGAAGAUUCUGUGUUGGAUCUAAGUAAUUCUUUGUCAUAGUCAUGUAACCUUCUAUAUUGAUCUCUAAAGCUACCUUCCACAAAUUCAGCUGCCAAAUUCUUUGCCCUAUAAGCUUUGCUUCUGUUGACACAUGUCGCGUCAUUUUUCGGAGAUCAAGCUAUUUUAUUAGCAUAAACUCGCUAUUUUUAUUUCCCGACUGAACUUUUAAUUUUUUUUCAAAAGAAAGUGGAAAAAGGUUCAAAUACCACAUUUUUAAGAUUAAGGGUUCGGGGGUUGGGUAUAUUUAGGGAAGGUAUUAGCACCCUAAAUAUUCGUAGUAUUCUACGAGAACCUCUUGAUUUUAUUCAACUUUUGUGCUAUAACUUGUUUGUUUUUAAAGAGAUGAAAAUAGAAUUGAAUGAUGAGUUAAAAAGAAAAAGAAAAUCGAUUUUAGUUGAUUUGGAAGGACAUGGUCCUUUGCCUAUGUACCCGUGAGGGAUCAAAACCUCGUACUUCGGGGUAGAAAUUGACGUUUGAUUGGUUUUGUGUUUUUUAUUAGUCUUUGAAAAAGUUUUAAAAUAAAAGGCCAAGUGGCAAAUAAGAAUUGGUUUGUGUUUUUAAUAUUGAAGAAAAUUGACUCAAAGUUGAAUUAAAUUGAUUGAAAGUUUGAUUAAGAAAAAUAAAAAUAACGAUCACUUGAUUGAAAAUUAAGGUUUAUUAUGAAAAUAUUUUUGUGAUUUUUGUUAUUUGAAUGUUUUUGUUGUUUUUGAAUAAUGAAUGAAAAUUAGACUGACGGAGCAAUAAAAAUAAAAGCGCGUGAAUUUCUGUAGUGACGUUGAAUCACCACAUAAUCCCUAACCUAAUUUUUUUGCAUUUUUUUUAUAUAUAAAGCGGUAAAGAAAAUAAAAGACACACGUGCGCGCACACACACGCACACACUUUUUUUCAUUUAUAUUGUACAUUGGCCCUAAGUACAUUCUAAUUCUUGAGUAAAAAUAAAAUGACGAAAAUUAAAAUGCAUGAGUGAAUAGAAUGUAAGACGAUGACUUUAAACUAAUAAAGAAAAUGAAAUGCGAGGCAAAAUAGAAAUGCAAAAAGAAAUUAAAAUGCAUGAAUAAAAAAAAAGAUGAGAUGCAAGGGGGUAUAAACAGUAACAAGGGGGUGCAGUAAUGAAAAAAAGAAAUUGGGCUUUGUAAGAUGACAGAGGCGCGCGUUGGGCCUCAUGGUCGGUUUUAGGCCGGUUCAGAUCGGUUUAAAGGCCGAACCAGUUCGGUUUAGUAGUAUAUAUAGGUUGUGGACGGUUUUUUAUUCAUUUUAAAAAUUCAUUCUCUCUCUUCUCCUUUUACUUUCCAAAAAAAAUCUCUCUUCUCUCUCUACUUAUCUUCUAAAAAAACGAUGGAAUGGGUGGUUGGAAAGAAAUCCGGCGCGGUGGCCGGCGAGUUAUCACGGUGGCGCCACAGCGCCGGAGUUAAAUCUGAUAUAUUCUAGAGAAAUAUAAAGAUAAAAAAAAAAAGUAGAACAAUAUCACUGAUAUAUUUUGGACCAGAAAACUAUGGAUUAAUUUAAUUAUUAAUUAGGACCAGAUUAUUCUGAAGAGUGAUUUAACUUAAUUGUAAGUUAAUAUUAAGAUUUGGUUAGGACCAGAGCACUCUGGAUUAAUUGAAUUAAUAAGGACCAAAUUGUUAUGGAGAAUAAAUAAAUUAAACAACAAUAUAAUAUUAAAAGUUAGUUUAGGACCAGAGCACUCUGGAUUAAGAUGUGUGUAUUUAGUGUAAAAUAAAUGAAAAAAGAUAGCGAGAGGGGAAAUAGGAAAGAAGGAAGAGAAAAAUAGAAGAAAGAGGAAAGAGAAAAAGGGAAGAUGAUAUACCUUUUAUAGGAAGAAUAAGAGAAAGACAAAAGAUGAGGGUUGUUUUGUUUUUGGUAGUGAUGGUGUUUUUUGUGUUAAUUUAUGGUGGUUUUAUGUUGAUUUGAGUGGUGGUUGUGUUGUUGAUGAUGAAGAAAAGAAACAUGCUAAGACUAAAAAAAAUUGUAUUGGUGUGUUGCUGAUUUUUUUCUCUAUCUAAA